UUCGCAAUGCCCGAAAGGGUGACGAAGCGACGCCGCGUGAGCGAAGAAGGCCUUAGGGUUGUAAAGCUCUGUCGAGGGUUAUGAAAUGUAGGUGGGUUAAUACCCCGCUUAAUUGACAAAGGCCCCAAAGGAAGUCACGGCUAACUCUGUGCCAGCAGCCGCGGUAAUACAGAGGUGGCAAGCGUUGUUCGGUAUUAUUGGGCGUAAAGAGCACGUAGGUGGUUUUGUAAGUCAGGUGUGAAAGCCUUCUGUUCAAAGGAAGAACGGCAUCUGAAACUGCAGAUCUUGAGUGUAGGAGGGGAGAGUGGAACUUCUGGUGGAGCGGUGAAAUGCGUAGAUAUCAGAAGGAACGUCGGCGGCGAAAGCGACUCUCUGGCCUAUUACUGACACUGAGGUGCGAAAGUUAGGGGAGCAAACGGGAUUAGAUACCCCGGUAGUCCUAACCGUAAACGAUGGGCACUAAGUAGAGGGGUUUU
Molecule: ribosomal RNA, 476 nt
Filed under: Candidatus Scalindua wagneri
Lineage: Bacteria; Pseudomonadati; Planctomycetota; Candidatus Brocadiia; Candidatus Brocadiales; Candidatus Scalinduaceae
Description: bacterial SSU rRNA
Rfam family: Bacterial small subunit ribosomal RNA
Source: RNAcentral